RNAcentral lists this small nucleolar RNA (135 nucleotides) under Mus musculus (house mouse). Its description in RNAcentral is "small nucleolar RNA SNORA67". It matches the Rfam family "Small nucleolar RNA SNORA67". From Rfam's summary of the family: U67 belongs to the H/ACA class of snoRNAs which are thought to guide the sites of modification of uridines to pseudouridines. Lineage: Eukaryota; Metazoa; Chordata; Mammalia; Rodentia; Muridae. The record is from RNAcentral.
AGUCAAUAAAUAAAUGUAAUAGAUGGUUUAAAAUACUUUUUAAGAUAGCAACUUGGAAGAAAGCCAGGCAUGCCCAGGGUCUCUGCUGAAUAAGGAAUACUUGUUUCCUUUGUCUUCCUGAGGCUGCCUACAUGU